This 497-nucleotide ribosomal RNA is filed under the name uncultured bacterium. RNAcentral's name for it is "partial 16S ribosomal RNA". It matches the Rfam family "Bacterial small subunit ribosomal RNA", at positions 28 to 507 of the family's 1533-position model. The record is from RNAcentral.
GAUGAACGCUGGCGGCGUGCCUAAUACAUGCAAGUCGAGCGAACAGAUGAGGAGCUUGCUCCUCUGACGUUAGCGGCGGACGGGGGAGUAACACGUGGAUAACCUACCUAUAAGACUGGGAUAACUUCGGGAAACCGGAGCUAAUACCGGAUAAUAUAUUGAACCGCAUGGUUCAAUAGUGAAAGACGGUUUUGCUUUCACUUAUAGAUGAAUCCGAGCCGGAUUAGCUAGUUGGUAAGGUAACGGCUUACCAAGGCAACGAUGCGUAGCCGACCUGAGAGGGUGAUCGGCCACACUGGAACUGAGACACGGUCCCGACUCCUACGGGAGGCAGCAGUAGGGAAUCUUACGCAAUGGGCGAAAGCUUGACGGAGCAACGCCGCGUGAGUGAUGAAGGUCUUCGGAUCGUAAAACUCUGUUAUUAGGGAAGAACAAAUGUGUAAGUAACUGUGCACGUCUUGACGGUACCUAAUCAGAAAGCCACGGCUAACUACGUG